Molecule: long non-coding RNA, 1177 nt
Organism: Megalobrama amblycephala (Wuchang bream)
Lineage: Eukaryota; Metazoa; Chordata; Actinopteri; Cypriniformes; Xenocyprididae
Exons: 3
Source: RefSeq, a predicted model, not a curated record
AAAGUGUUUCCUUUGUGUUUUUCACAUACAGACGACAAUGUUGUCCAAAUGAUCCCUGUUCACAAGGAUCCGCGAAAAUGACUAAAAGUGCUGCAUUAUGCUGCCAGGCCUGUAGUUGGCGAUGUCACUUUGUAAAGAAACACUACGUGCCUAUAGAAUGAACAUGUAACAUGCAUAUGUAUGAUGUCACCAUUUUCACAAAUUCAUGUUUUUUCCUGUUCCUGUUUGCCUGAGAUCUCAUUCAUUAUUUGUUGUCAUGGUUACUGAUUGCUUUGUGCACCUGUUUCUUGUUCAGUUCAUUUUCUCCUUUGUAUUUAAGCCCUCAUUUUAGUUCUACUCAUGGUCCACAACCCGUGGUACUGGCAGAUGCACAUUUUCUAGAAAAGGCAUCCCUCUCUGUUAAUGUAUGCAACAUCACAUGCAUGCAAUUUACAAUUCCACAGCAGAGUCACGGACAUGGGAAUGUGAAUAUGGCCGGAGGGUUCAGCGAGCACGCUCUAAGACACAUCACCUCACCAGCUAUUUGUGUCUGAUCGCUGGUGAGUGGAAUUGGAAGCUGUGGCAUAUUGUGCAUCCUUUAUCAUUUCACACAUGAAUUAUGGAUGCUGCUUGAGCUACCUGGUUUCCAAGAGCCAGUUUCCUUCAUACAGACACAUCUAUUUGGAAGAUUUCAGCGAGGGAGACCACAAAUUAAUAUUCAGCGGUGCGCUGACCUCCAUGUCAUGAUGAUCAAUGAGCUUUGUUACUGGAACAUGAUCUUUCACACCUACAAGCUGUCCAUCAACACUUUCAUAGCAGCAUAAUAAUUAGGAGCAAGGCACCCGCAGAUGCAUUAUAUCUGGAUUUAACACCUGUGUAGACCUGUGUACUGAACUUACAACAGGUCUACACUUAGAAAGCAUUUUAAACAUUGAUACUCUCAGGAGCGGAGUAAACAGAUUUAGAUAGGGACUCUAAUGCCGGUUAUUAAUGAAUUCUUCUAAUACAUUGGCAGGAUAUGAGUUGUGAUAUUUCAUUUAACAUAAACUACUCAUCCACUGAUAGAUCUUGCUUCUUGAAUUUAAUUGGCUUAACAUAACCUGAGAAAUGGUGGAACAGGUUAAUUAAUAAUAUGAGAAUUGAGAGUUGUUUUUAAUUAGAAUGAUACAUGCUUGCUGGAUUUGACUGGAUUGUAUUC